UGUGAGCGAAGCAAUGAGAACACAACAUACCCUCUAAGUAUACUGCCGGGCUUAUUAACACAAAUCUUAGCUCAAUGUUGAUGGGGUUGAGAAGUAAAUUUGUUCAGUUGAAUAAUUCUUUAAUAUACCGUAAUAAUUUUUUGAUAUACACACACGUUCACUGCUCUUUGGGCACUCAAAUUAGCAGAAAUUACUAUAUUGCUAAAAAACCUAAAAAGAGAAGGAAAUUGUUGUAUGAGCAGCACGUUUUAAUUCAAGCGAGAAAAGGUUUAUAGCUGGUUAUUUUACUUAGCAAGCCGAAUUUUAUCAAAAAUUGAAAGACGAGGAAAUUUGUAAAAAUAAUAAACCGUUAGAAUUUGACGCGCUUUAUCGGCGCUUUGUAAAACUUGUCCAUCCAGACAUCUGGCAAAGAGAAGGAAAACACUUCCUAGAAACAAACUCAAAAUCUUUACAAAAGAUGUCCGAGUUGAUUUGUAAACUAAAAACAAAGAAUAUAUUUCCAACUUUUUUUUUAGGCAAACCGCAUUAUCCGGAGGCUGAAAAUAUUUUCCUGCCCUUUUACAUACAUACGACUGCUAAAGAAGAAUUUGGGUCUUUCCCUAGAACAAGAAAACUUGUACACUUUAAAACGUUUCUGAACGGCAACGAUUGCCGUAAAGACGUUGCUAACUCGUUUGAAGAAUUAUUUUCUAGCUGUCAAAUCGAACCAACCAAAUUUCUGUGGGGAACUAAGUUUUGGGGAACUGAAGUUUGAAUUCACUAAUGAAG
This is a long non-coding RNA of Zophobas morio, 768 nucleotides long. RefSeq lists it as uncharacterized. NCBI's taxonomy places the organism in Eukaryota, Metazoa, Arthropoda, Insecta, Coleoptera, Tenebrionidae. The transcript is spliced from 7 exons. The record is from RefSeq and is a predicted model, not a curated record.